Xiphias gladius (swordfish) is the source of this 500-nucleotide long non-coding RNA. RefSeq lists it as uncharacterized. Lineage: Eukaryota; Metazoa; Chordata; Actinopteri; Istiophoriformes; Xiphiidae. The transcript is spliced from 3 exons. The record is from RefSeq and is a predicted model, not a curated record.
CUUGAGGACAAGGCUGGGACGGUGCAGCAUUUAAACCUGUGAGGUGACACAUACGGAGGUCAACAGGUUAUAAGGAUUUAUUUCGACUGCAAGGUUAAAAAAGAGCUGUCUCGAUGUUGUCCCGGACGAGUUUCCAGUGAACACCGGAGGGUUUGUACACACAAAACAGACCUUCCAGUCGCCGAAACAUGCGCACAGCUGCAGUUGCCAUUGUUGGUAAUAUCAGGUCAUUCCGAUUUCUUGAAAAAUGUCUUUUUUCGAUUUCUCUCUCGCGGUUUUCGAAAGCAGGGUAUGCCUUUCCUCCACUUGCGUCUAGGCAUGUGGCUGGCAGCGUAGGUUCUCACAGCUGCUGUGUGUCCACACCGCCGCCUGCUGUACUGGAUGAAUGAAUGGCGUGCAUGAGAGGAGAGUAGGAAUGAACGGCGAGAGAGCGACAACACCAGGAGAUGGCAACAGCUGCCAUGAAGCCCCGGAGACGAACGAGAGGAGGAGGAGGAGGA